AGCAAAGUCGCCGCGACUCGCUCGCCCUAUCUUGGCUGUUAUGAUCAAUCUCAUUCGAUAUGGAUGUAUCGAAGUAGUUUGAUUUCUGCGGUGUGGGGAGCCAUUCAAAUUCGCUUAGGUCGUUUCGGCUUCUCUGUGGCACCUAAUCGUUUGACUAUUCGUCUCUGGAGGUCACGUUCUUCCAUUCAUUUCUCAACCACCAACAAUCUCAAGCAGAAAAUCGAGAUUUCAUUGUAACUUGAUGUGCUCGUGAUCUCAAAAAGUUAAGAAUGAAACGAAACAUACUCAUUGACAUGAUUUAUAUGUACCAUACAAUCUUCUCUUUUUUCCCUUCUGCAAAGAAAGGUAGAUCCAGAAAAAACCACCCCAAGAUUAAACACGAGAGACCCAAAAGAAAGGAUACUUUCUACGUGGUGAUUCUGCAAGAAAGAGUUCCCAAGGUUGGAGGCUGAUCAAUAGCUUGCUGUCUACAAGGCCAGACCAGAGCUUCCAAGCUCCUCAAUUGACUCGUGAGCUGCUUAUAAACGGCGAGUCUCACUUUCGAAAUCAUCAGCGCCACCCUCUUCCUUGACGUCUUCAACCGCCGCCCAAUCUUCACCUUCAACCGGCAGAACCUCACCCUCAGGAGCGAAGGCCUCCUCUGAGCAUCGGCUCCUUCCAACACCUUGUAGAUCAGGAACUGCGCUUUCCGAUGCUUUUUCUCUUCCAGGUCCUCGAAAUCCAUCCUUGUGUAUGCAUGCGGCUUCUUGAAAAGGGCCAUUGUCGAUCCUGGGAAUCGAGAUUUUGGGUUGAAUUUGGCAAUAAAGAGGUUGAAGAGAAGGUAGUGUGUUUUGGAGGAGUGGAAACCAGGGGAGGGAGACCAGCUGGCUUUUAUAGAAUGUGUUAGGAAUUGAUGAAGGCACAAUGCGUGUCCACUCAUGUUCGUCAGGAUAAAUCAUAAAAUGAGUAGAGAAAACACAAGUAACUUGGAGUGAAAAUCUUACAUCAUUUGAGGUCUAAAAUUUGACCAAAAAUUUAAUCACAAGAUAAAUUUGAUGUUGAUUGGAUGAAUCAUGUGCACUCAAUAGGCGCUCUUUUUUCUUCUUCCGAGUUUUUUUAAUGGGUCUAAUUUUUCCGGAUGAAAAGUAAUGAAACGUAUAUUAAGAAAACCGAUCUAAAAAGCUGUCUUUAUCAAUAAAGCAAAUCCCUACUUGGGUGUCAAUACACAUAACUCGUUUAUUCAAAUGCUCUCAUAUGGUCUGUUGCAUUGCUUGAUAUCUCAAUUUUGUUCAUCAGGUUUAAAAUAACAAUUACAGUCAUCCACAUUUACUAACAACGUAAACACAUAAAAUCAUAAGAUUAAAAAGAACUUAUAAAAUAUUGUCAAUGACACAAAUGAUAUUGAAUUGGAGUGGUAUGUAUGUGGAGGAAACUAUGAAUCCAAUACUCUCCAGCUGUAGACCCCCUAAGUGGAAAUUGAACCUGUCCGGCCCAAGACGGCACUCACUUUUAUUUAUUUAUUUAUUUGCGUUUGCUUUGUCCCUUUUUUUUUAUGAAUUAUGUCUAACUAGUAGAGUUGGAAGCAAAGUAAAAAAGGCAGGCAUGAAAGUUUCAUUCUGGAGAAAAUAUUUUCGAGAUAUAUUCCAUAGAACGGUGCCAAUCACUUUUCGAGAAAUUAUGAGAUUCAUAAUUUAUGUCUCGAUUAAAAUAAAUAAAAACCACACACGCAUAUAUAUAUACAAGCUACCUGCAUGCAAUUGAUCUGAUCGUCCACGUCGCCAAUAAUGCGUAACCCUGUACACUUGUUUUUUUUCCACGCGAAUUAAAUUAAUCUUAGGAAGAGUGUGCGUGUCAACUAGUCCGUUCAAAUUGCCAAAUCCUUCGGAUAGCCAAUGUGAUAUCAACUAAGCAAGGAGGUAUUUGGCCCGGGCGGCCUGCAACUCCCACCUAUUCCAACAACAUUUAUUUACUAAUUUUAUUCAUUUAAGCUAUAUUAUAAAGUGUAUCAAGUAGCGACAACUUCUUGUCGAUUGGAAUUACGACAAACCCAUAAUUAGAUAACAAUAGUAGUCCUAGAAUUAAACUUAGGUAGGCUAGAAAAAAAAAUGAAAAACAGGUAAGGUUCCUGAUGUUAGUCCAACAUGGUCGGAAAGAGCCUAUUCAUACACCUAUGUCAAUCGCACCGUCCUAAAUAAGUUUCGCAUUGAAAAAUAAAGAGUUUAGAUAUAACUAUUCACAGAUAGGGAAGGGACGGAUCAAAGCCAAAUCUCAAUUUAUUAACAAGAGCCAAGACUGCGCUGUACUCUAUGAUCGACUUCAUAGACUUGUUUAAAAUGAGUCCAAGCAAUAUUUUCCUUCUAACAUUUUAUGUCAGUCUCAUUUUUUAGUAAACCUAUGCUAAGGUAAGACGAUACGAAAAAUAUAUGGUUGUUGUUUCAAAGUGCACGCAUCAACAUGACGUUAGUCUAAUCGAAGUUAGAACUGAUGUAGAAAGGGUGGGCAAGAGCACGCGUGCAUGUCCAUAACAUCAACAGCUAAACAUUUUAUAUUAAAAUACGCAAAUCAUUGACGUUCGCUUCAUUCUUCUAGUUCAAAAUAAAUUAGUAAAUAUAUAUAAGUGUUGUUUAACUUGAGGGGAACGGGAUCAUGCGCAGCAAUCAUCGAAAGGCGAUGAUGAAGUUGACAUUCUUAAAAUUUUUCUCUUGGCUUCCAUUAAUUAGAAAAACCGUCACCGAAUAAUUCUAAAUGACGAGUUUUCAAGUGGUUUCUUGAAGGUCUCUCUCUCUAUUUUUUUUUCUUAUUUUUUUAGCUUUUUUAUUAUUAUUAACGCAACUCGAAAACGUAACGUGAAAAAUUCAUUGCCUCAACCCUUUGACUUUUAAUUUCUAGGGGUCUUCAAAGAACACGCUCAGCCAUGAGUAGGAGGAAAGAGUGCGGGCCGGUGUUAGGGUUUUCGGAUGAGGUGUAGUUUUGAAAAUAAAAUGACAGAUUUGGUAAAUUACGUGUGGGUGAGAGAUAUGGCUCAAAAUCUUUUGUAGUUAUGGCGAGACCGAUGGCGAGGUCAUGCAAGCUUGGCUUAAGCUCGCAUGAGAUUGGGCUCGAGCCGGCAAGGGCCACGGCCUGCGUGAGCCUCUGCAAUAGGCUCGUGAGCCACGCGAGCUCUUCAGCCGAAGCUCGGCCAUGGCCGCCGGAUCUAGGUCGUUCAAGCUCCAUUUGGCCUUGAGCCGGCAUGGCACCAGCCUUCAGAUUAACAAAGGCAGUGCGCGCAGUGAAUCGGGGAGAGAAAUGCCGGAGGGUGUGUCGAACCAAGUAAGCCUCUUCUCGUGUGAGAGGAGAGACCGUGGGCGAGCAUUGGGUUUUUCGGACGUGGUGUAGUUUUGAAAAAUGAGAAUUUGGUAAAUUACGUCUAGGUAAGAAACUUAAGUUUAAAUCUAUGGUAAAAAAACGAGGAUUGUAAUUGUAGAUUGCACAGUAUGGUGGUGGAUGGUAUUUGAUAUGGGAAGUAAAAUUGAAGACGAUUUUCGUAACAUCUCCCUAGUGUUAAGUAUAUAAAGAAUAUUUAUUAGGUCCUUUGUCAAAGUAACAAAAAUUUUUAUGCACCUAUCGUUCGAUGAUUGACAUAUGUACUUACAAAUAAUAAUGUAAUCAAAUUCUUCCAUGUGUCGAUCAUUUGAGAGUGAAUGUGUAGAUCAAUUCUUACACCGACACCUGACCUGAUAAAAAUCCCAUUAUGUUAUAUUGUAUGAUAUCCAAUAACAAGUGUCUAAUUUGGUGUUCAAGUGGUGACAUUUUAGCUUAGGCGUUAUUGAAGAUGUCGUGGGGCGGUUGGAUAAGAAUGAUGCACCUAACCUGUUUGGGAUUUUGUGCAGAAAGUUCCCAUUUUUUAAUUCACCAGUAAUAUAGAUCGAUUCCAUCAUUUAGUACGUACACUUCCUCGAAAAAAAAGAAAAAUAAGCCACAUCAUCUUUUAGAAGGAUGACAAAUUCAGCAUUAUAUUUUGAAAUUAUGAAUUUUAUUGACUCAAAUAUAUAACAGGUUUAAUUGUAUAGUAAAGUCGUAAAUUUACAUUUUAAGAAAUUAUUUCGUAUUUCGAUUUAUUGGAAGAAUCCUCUACUUUUUUUUUUUUUUGUCGAAAAUAAGACUUACUUUCAGUUAAAACACGGAUUACAAAUAGACGGUAAAUAGACUUCAGAACAUAAAAUAUUCAGAAGGGGUUGAGGUGGUGCAUCUAACCAAUUUGUAGGUAAAGUCUUACGGCGAUGCGCCUUGGCGGUCCAAUCAGCUGCGUUGUUUGCGUCGCGGGAGCAGUAGGUGAGAGUGACGAAUGACAUCUUCUGAAGGAGCUCUUUGAUUUCGGUCACUAAAUGCAUAAUAGCCCACGGUGCAUCAGCCCGGCCCAAACUGGCCUCCACGAGUGCAUUAUUGUCGCACUGUACUUCCCAGCUUUUGUCUUCAAACUGAACAGCCCCCUCUUGACUUUCUGUUCGUUUGUUUAGAGAGUUCAACGCGUGCAAGAGUGCUAGGGUUUCGGCGUGCAGAGGGGAGGCCGCCCGAAUUUCAGCUACAAAUCCGUCGAUCAAUAAUCCAUUCGAGUCCCGGAUGAGCCCUGCAACCGAACCUAGUUCUUCUCCAUCAUUCCACGAGCAAUCGACAUUCAGCUUGAAGCUGGUGCUGUUCGGAGCCGUCCAGUGCUCUGUUGCGGCUGACUUGCUGGAUUUCUGCUUGACUUUCUUGCGGUUCCAUCUAAGGAAGGCUCGGGUCUGUGUGUGGGCAAGAUCUACAAUUGAUUCAGUCUUGGGAACUCAAGAUCUGAAGAUGUAAUCGUUUCUGAGUUUCCAUAUCAACCAGAUCGUGUUUGCCACCAGAUCUGCCGAAGGUACCUCUGUUCUCACCGUGGUUGGGCGAGAGGGCAGACCUCGCCGAUGGCCUAGCGAGGCUUGCCUGGCCACUUAGGCCACCGGCGAGACCGAGCCUCACGGUGCUCACCAAGCCACUGGGAGGCUCAGCCUCACUAGAUUUGGGCGAGGCCAAGCCUCAGCCUCGUCGAUGAUUAGGCGAGGCCAAGCCUCAACCUUGCCGGUGGUCAGGUGAGGCUCCGGCGAGCUCACCGGCCCUCACCCAGCCAGUUGUCGGCUGCCAGCGACGGGCCACAAAGAGGAAGAAGGAGAGAAAAAAAAAAAAGGAAAAUAUAAUAAAAAUAUUUAAAAAUUAAAAGAAACAACAAAAUUAUACAAUUUUACCAAAUGCAUUUCUUUCUAGGGAAUAGAAAUUUUUUGCAGUUAUCAAGCACAUUCUUAUACUCAAAAUUUGUUCCCGGAAACAAAAAUAAAUAAAUAAAUAAAUAAAUAAAAACUAUUUCUAUUCAAAAAUUGUUCCCUAAAAUGGAAGCGUUACCAAACGUGCCCCAAAUAGCACCAACACGCGACACGACAUGACACGACACGACAAGCAACACGUUGUUUCUCAAAAAAUAUAGAAUUUCGACACAUUGAGACACGUUGUAUAUUAAAUAUAUAUAUAUAUAUAUAUAUAUAUAUAUAUAUAUACAUAACAAAUUGUCAUUUUUAUGAUUAUUUCAAUCAAAUUAAUUUGAUUAAAAUUCAUAAAUAAAUAAAUAAUAAAAAGUCUAGAAUGAAUUUAAACUAAAAAUAUUGAUCUACCAUUUAUUAGUAUCAUUCUUUGUUUCAAUUUAACAAAUCCAACUCCAUUCCAAUAAUUCAUAAUAUUUGGGAGAGAAGUACACUAUCAAUGCCAUAAGUUGUGUAUGGCGCUCACUUUGGUGCCAAAAGUUUCCGUCAAAUCACUUAAGUGCCAAAUCGGAGGUAAAACGAUCACUUUGGUUCCACCAGCGAAAGAUUCCAGCCAAAAUGAUUACGUGACUUUUUAAUUAAAAAAAUCGAAAAGGCCUUAAACGAUGUCGUUUUGCCGUCCUACAUGGAUGGCCUCACAAAAACGACACCGUUUAAUUCAUUUGGGAAUUUUUUUUUAUUUGGGGAUUGAAAUUAGGGUUUCGUCGCUCAGCCUCCGCUGUUGCUGGGCCACCAUCGCUCGCUUAGUCGCCAUUGCUCAGCGCUGUUCGGACGCCCUUGAUGGCACACAAGGGAGCACCAACCUCAGUCGCCGGAGCCUAGGUACUAGAAGACGUAGGCCAAGCACUCGUCAAGGAGAUCAAAGAUAGAGAGGGAGACAUCAAUGGCGGCGCACUCAUCGGUAGCCUCCCCGAGCACCGGCUAGAUCAUGGCCUUCAACUUGGUUGUCGAGUGGCCGUCGUCAGGGUUGGGGUCGGGGUCGGGGUCGGGGUCGAAGCCACGUCCGCCGAGUAGCCAUCGUUGGGGUAGGGGUCAGGGCCAGAGCCACAGCCGUUGAGUGGCCAUCGUUGGGGUCGGGGUCAGGGUCAAAGCCGCAGCCGCCGAGUGGCCAUCGUCAAGAUAGGGGUCAGGGUCGGAGUCGCGGCCAUCGAGUGGCCAUUGUCGCGGUCGGGGUCGGAGCUACAGUCGCCGAGUGGCCAUCGUCGAGGUUGGGGUCAAGGUCGGAGCCACGGCCACUGAGCGUGAGGGCCGUCGAGGACAGCGAACGGCGUCGUUUUGGUGUUAGGAUGCUGAUUGUACUCUCCGACGAGCCCCAUCAACUUCAAAAAUUAAUAAAAAAGUGCCACGUCGGAUUUCCGGCCAACCGGAUCAGAGUUGGCACCAAAGUGAGCGCCGUAAACAACUUAUGACACUAAUAGUGUACUUAUCCCAAUAUUUGGAGAAGGAAAACAAGCAAUUCACAUCAUAGAUUCACCUAUUGAACAUAUCAGAAAGAAAGAGAAAAAAAAAACUUGGGGUGUGAAUUUUGUAUCAUGGGAAGCGAGAGUCAAAAGAGAAGAGAAAAUUAAGUUUUUAUUUUUUCCCCAUUUAUUAUUUUUAUUAUUUUUUCAUAUAUAUUGACCCUUCAUUUAUUAAAAAAAUUUAAAGUUGAUCUCACAUAUUGGAAUCAGAAACUUGCAUAUUGAAAUUCUAACUCGUGUGUCGAGAAAGUUGAUCAAAUGUCGAAUUUUUCGACGAGUGUUGACCGAGUGUUGAAGAGUGUCUGAGAAUGUCCGAGAAUGUCGGACACUUGUCGAAAUGUCUAAGACGACACGAAAACUUUCAGAGAGUGUCAGUGCUUCUUAGGUGGACAAUAUCCAUAGAGUUAGUCAUAAGUGCCUCUGUUGGAUGGACAUGAUUAUACCCUACAUAAUCUACAGCAACAUUCACUAAAGCCCAAGUAUCAGCAGCAAAGCACCAACAGAAAAUAUAUAUAUAUAUAUAUAAAGAGCAAAUGAUUCGUUAAUCAGCAUGCAUCAAGCUGGGAUAGGAAUGAGCUUGGGAAUUGCUUUUUCGAAAACUCAUUGAAAGGAGAAGGGGACUUUGACUUAACGUCCAUCCGUUUAAAAGUAGCUGAGUGUUAGUAAAAGAGUAUUUUCCAUGCCCACGUGCAUUAUUAAACUAUUUGUUAAUAUGAAUGAUUAGAGAUCUUUUCAAAUAUAUAUUUUCACAGAGCAAACGUUUAUGUCAAAUGGGUUGGGAAAAUAAUCGGGAUAAUGAUACAAAUAAUCUCUGAAUUUUGACACAAUAUGCAAUAUGAUCCCUAACUUUUUUAUUUAUUGAAUAUGGUCCGUAAACUUUAGCUUAGCGUUGUGACACCUAAAUUUUCGCUACCAUAUUUAAUUCUUUAUUGCAUAAGAAAAUUAGGAUUGGUCCGACCCCUAGACAAAAAUAUCAUCAACGGAAUUCAUAUACAUAUCACAUGCAAAUUAUAUGGCGCUAUGCACAGUGUUAUCAUGCACCAUCAUACGUGUGAUCAAAGAAACUUUUUAAAGAUGUGAUUGGCCACAGCGUGUUUAAACUCUGUACUCAAAACUCCUGGAAAUUCGAUCUCCAGUGGUUCAAUGGUUAUUUGCAAUUAUGAAUUCAAUUCUGUUUUGAAAUGGAGAAAAAAUCGGGAUGAAGGCUUUUAAAGAUGAGAAAUAUCCACACAAAAGCUAAUCCACAAGCUAGUUACGAAAGCAGAGGGAAAUCUAAUCGUAAGGCGUUCAAGUUUGAAAAGAGAAAACAGAUUUGCCAUUUAUCUCUGGGAUUCUCAUCAAUAAGAAGAAUUACCUCCUCUACAAAUAGAGAAACCUUAUAGGAACACGAUGGAAAUUCACGGCCAAAUGUGAGACACUAGAGAGGGAGAGAGGUUCCCCUUGGAGCAUUAUCCUGAUGGUAAAUAUACCAAGUUGAUGUCGGGGCAAGGGACAUGGAGACACAGAGGUGGCGGUGAGGGAUAAACUGUUUGAUGUAUGCCCUAAAGCUACUAUCAUAUUAGGGAUUUCAGUUAUAUUAUCAUUAUUAUUUAAUUAAUGGCAAUGACGUAUUCAUUUAUUUAUCCAAUUAUUUUAUAUUUAUGAAUGAUUCCAUAAGAUCAGUUGCAAUUAGACAUAUUCUUGAAACGUCAAGAAUAUACGUGACGAGUUCAUAGUUAGCUGAAUCUUUAAACCGUUCAUGGUCAAUGGAUUAUUAAGUGGAUAUUUAUAAUCCUGUUGAGAUCGAUGUGUUCUUAACUUCACCAUUAAGUAUUGGAUACUUAAGGGAAUGAUGAUUCGCAUGUCAUUGGGUAUUAUGAUUCCUGAGUUAGAACACAGAUGUUUGUAUUAGACAAGUUCACUGAACGUAACGCAUAUAGAACAAUUAGCAACAUGGAAGCUUUUAGCGUGAUCAAUAUCUAAUUGUUCAUGCUUUGGUCAUGUGUAAAUAAUCCUUAAAUCUGAGGCACAAUGUUAACUUGUGUGUUGAACAACUAUGGUUCACAAGUGCACAUAAUGCCAAGUCAUUGAUCUAUCUUUAUACCUAAUAGUCAUAGUUUGUUUAUAUACAAAAUUACACAUGUUCGCAAUAUGGAAUAUGUCUCUUUGUUACAUGCAACAUAUAAUAAUGAUGUCCUAUGCGAUCUAAUUAUGACACUGCAUGGAAAUCCUCGGCCGAGGUUGUAACCAAGAAUAAAUUGUUUGUGUCUUGAAUAAAAUACAUGUCAAUUAGAUUUGUGCAUAUGAUUGAAUUUGUGACUUAACAAAUAUUUCAUGGUCUUUGUUUGAUUGGGACAUGAUAAGACGGAGGAAUUGAAUUACACUGUAGCGAAAACUGACAGGGUCAUUAUGUUCUUAAAGCAUUUAUAGUAUCUAGGUAGUCAUGAAUCAUAACUUAUAGGACCCAAAGAUUAAUCGGACAAUUUAUUCUUUUUGGAGUACUAAUAUAUUAGUACAAAUCUUACUACUAGCUUAGUGAUGAACCUAGGGAUGUUACACACCAUAAACAAUUAGGAUAACGUAGAACACGAGAGAAAUAUUGUUGCAAAUCUGUUUGCAAUUACUGCAAUCGAAUUGAGUCGAUUUAAAAUUAAAUUAAAUGAGAUUUAAUUUAAUUUGUAUUAAAGUCACGAGCCUACUUACAUAUGAUGCACACACAUGCCCAAAGUGGAUACAUGUUAAUGUACCCCAAAUGUACAUAUAAAGAUUAUGUCCUUUUUAUCUUUUAUUUUUCUUUAAAGGAAUUGAUUAAGUAAUUAUUUAUUCAUUUAAUUAAUAAUCAAUCAAUAAUUUUUUUUAAUUAAUUGGGAAGCUUCAUGCAUGAACGGUUGACCGUUCAUGCACGAAGCAUCGUUCAUGCACGGUGCUUCGUGCAUGAACGAUUGACCGUUCAUGCACUAUCGUGCUUCGAAAGAUGGGGAUCAGCAACGGUUGCUGAUCCCACGAUCAGCAACCGUUGCUGAUUCAAGCAUUUUUCAUUUUAAAAUGCUGUAUUAAGGACAGAAAAUGUGGUUGCUGAAAAUAGAGUAAAAAUGUGUGUGUUCUUGUGUUUUUCGAGACGCAAGAAAGAAGAGUGUUCUCUCGUUCGGACCAUGACUAUAAUACAUUAAGGAUACGGCAAAUUGUCUCCACGAGAUUGUUAGCACGAUCAUAAUGGUGAUUAUUCAAAAGUUCUCUCUUCUAUUCGACGUUCAUUGUUGGUGUGUCUGAAUUAGAGGUCCGACGUUUGUGGGACUCGAACUAAAGAACAUCUAAAUCAAUUCGUUUAAAGUGCACUUCGAGAGGUAAUUAACAUAACUCACUUUUUAUAUUCAGAUUUUUUUAUUAAAACGUACGAACAACGCCUUCGGAGAAUUACGUAUAGAAAUAUAUUAUCUUUAUUUCCACUGUAUUUUUAUUAAUUUAGAUUCAUGAAACCCCAACACAAACACCGAGACCGAACCUUUACCGAGGCAGCUCACUGUUUGCCCAUCACGGUGAAGCCUCAGCAUUUGACCCUCGCCGCAGCCUUCGCUGUUGCGUCUCUAUUUGUCUGCCCCUGAACCUCCACUCGGUGAAUUUACCAAACAGCUGCUCUAGUGUGUCUCUGGCAUCAUCAAGAAGAAGAGCUACCACCACCGGGAACAGGGCCUUGUAAUUUUUCUUACGCAAUUCUCUUCAUUCUUGUGAUGGUUUAACAAAACUGGCAGUUUUGCAUUGAUUCUUGCGAAUUCAUCCUCGCGUCUUCUCCAUGACGAUCGAGUUGCGAGACUUUUCAUGGCACAUUACGGAAGCAACAUCGGCUUGGCGGCGUAGGGGGCUCAACUGGGCGGACCUCGGUAAGCAAUUCCCUUUUUGAGUUCCUCCGUCUCACCGAGUCUUUUUUUUUUUAUAAUUUCUAUACCCGGUGCUCGAUCCGGCCCGUUCAUUGAACAGAUCUAGGUCUCCCUUACACAAUGUUCAGGACAAAGGAAAGAUGAUGAACUGCCUUGGAGGAGCAAAAAGAUGAAGGACAAAGGAAAGAUGAUGAACUAUCUUGGAAGAUGACAUUUGAGAACAGAGAUACGCAGCAAAUUGACUGGGAGCUGAGCACGAGGCCAAACGUGAAGCCACUACGACAAGAAUUAACAGAUGUUGUAUGUACUCAAAAAAGCCAUUAAUCAUGUUGGCCUUUUUGGGACUCAUAUAUAUAAUGGUUCAAAAGGUAUCGAUCCGUACGCUCUAUAAAUCAUGUAAUAACUUCUUGAUAAACAGUAUAUAUGUAUUGUAUAGUACCUAUAUCUUAGGCAUAUUGAAUCAAUGCAAACUAUCUUGAUUGACCCAAUGUUCUUUCUAUAUCCAUGACAACCACCUACCGGGGAUGAAAUCGAUCCUUCUUAGGCAAAUUUUUAGACUUACAUGUUCUAAGCUAUUAUGAUCAAACUCAUUCGAUUCCGACAUAUCGAAGGAUUCACAAAUCCUAGAAGUUAAUAUACCGAUUUAUUUGCGUGCUAAGUAGUUUGAUUUCCAUAGUGGGACGAACUAUUCAAGUUAGUUUGGUUGUUUCUUCUUCUCUUUGGCACCUCAUCAUUUGACUAUUCGUCUCUCGGGGUCACGUACUUCAACUUCUUUUCUCAAUCACCAAGAAAAUGGAAAAGCAGAAAAUCAAGAUUCGAUUUUUAGUUUGAUGAGCUGACGAUCUCGAAAAGUCCAAACAAGAAACGAAACGAUCUUGUGGGUAUGAUUUCUAUGUACUAUAAAUAAACAUCCCUUUUCCCUUCUGCAAAGAAAGUUUAAUUCAGCAAGCACCACCCAAGAUUCCACACAACAUGAGAGACCAAAACGAAAGGAUACUUCUACGCGGUGGUUUUGCGAGAAAAAGAUUAAAAGGUUGGAGGCUGAUCAAUAACUUGGUCUCUACCAGACGAGAGCUUCCAAGCUCCUCAGUUGACUCGUGAGCUGCUUAUAAACGGCGAGUCUGGCUUUCGAGAUCAUCAAUGCCACCCUCUUCCUUGACUUCUUCAACUGCCGCCCGAUCUUCACCUUCAACCGGCAGAACCUCACUCUCAGGAGCGAAGGCCUCCUCCGAGCAUCGGCUCGCUCCAACACCUUGUAGAUCAGGAACUGCGCUUUCCGAUGCUUUUUCUCUUCCAGGUCCUCGAAAUCCAUCCUUGUGUAUGCAUGCGGCUUCUUGAAAAGAGCCAUUGUCGAUCCUAGGAAUCGAGAUUUUGGGUUGAAUCGGCAAUAAAGAGGUUGAAGAGAAGGGAAUGUGUCUUGGAGGAGUUGAAACCAGGGGUGGGAGACUAGCUGCUUUUUAUACAGCGUGUUAGGAGGUAAACAUUGCGUCGGUUGAUGAACGGCACAAUGUAUGUGCACUCAUGCCAUGUUCGUUAGGAUACAUCAUUAAAUAAGGAGAGAAACAAUGACUAAACCUGCCCUGGAAAUCUUACCUCAUUUGGGUUCUAAAGUUUGACCUAAAAUUUGAUUAUAAGAUUACAUUGAUUUUGAUUGGAUACAUCAAUGGAGACUCCACUUCAAAGAUACUGUGGGGUUCCUCAAACUCUCUUCAUCUUCCGAGUUUCUUCAAAGGGCUAAUUUUUCCGGAUAAAUGGUAAUGCGAGGUAUAUGAAGAAAAUUGAUCAAAAACGUUGUUGUCUUAAAGAUUAAGCAAAACCCUUAUUUGGGUGUUAAGACAUACAACUAUACAUUCAAAUGCUCGCAUACAAUCCGUCGCAUUGCUUGAUAUUUCAAUUUCGUGGAUCGAGCUUAAUAUAUCUGUCAUACUCAUCCACUUUUACUAAAAAUAUAAACACAUAAUAUCAUAAGAUUAAAAUGAACUUAUUAAUUAUUUUCAAUGACACAUAUAAUAUUAAAUUGGAAUAGCAUAAUGUUGAGGAAACUUUUGUUGGGAAUGACUGAUCCCCGAAAACCGGAUUCGACACUAAAUCGAACCCCUAAAUCAAUGCGGAAGACGAAGCCCGGGAAUGACACGUAUCACCGAUCCUAAAGCAUACCACGGAUUCGAGCGUACCUUGUUAGCCACAAAUUAGACAUCGACGCCGAUAGAGGAAGAGAAUUUGUUCCUUGUUCGAUCCGAUGACGCCUUGAAGGGAAGACAGUGUCGCCAUUUGCUUACUGUUUGUUUUAGGAGGGAGAGAGCGUUGGAGAGAAGAAGACGUACGUUUUUCCAAAACGUUAUCAUCUCUCUCUCUCCUCCCUUUUAUACCUUCCCCCAUCCACGGGCCCUAUUCCCGUGGGCCGGGCCUUUUGGGCCCAGCAUGGGCGGACGGGCCUUAAGCCCAUCACCAGUUAAAGCCAUCAUCUCCCACUCGCACAUGGUGGGCUGAACAGGAUUCUCUUUACAUCUCUUCAACAUUCAUACUGGUGAAUAAUCCGUGUGACCAGCAUACUUUGAGAGCUCGUUGCUAUACAUCUGUUAGGAAUAUAUAACAGCUCAUAAUGGGCAUCACAUCCUAAGUAGAUUUAGUAUGUAGUCUCCUAGAUCGAUUGAUCACAUUUAUAUCUCUCUUGAUCUCUUUUAAAUAAUGAUAUAUACAUUGUAUUCACAAUUAUGAUUAUCCCAAAGACAGUCAUAAUUGGUUAACCGGUGAAUACAAAACUACAAUAUGAUUCUCCAAAAUCGAUCUUCCUCUUUCUUUCAAACUCUCAAUUUCAGUUCAGCUUGCUUUUCUAGAAAUGUCACAUUAGAUCGAAUCAACUCAUGACCAUUGGCAACAUCCUAAGAUAGCAAACACUAAAUAGAAAUUUUGAGAAUAAGUAAGAGUCAUGAGAGGACUAAAAAUUGAGGAACUCUUUUCCUCAAGAGCCUCACAUGACAUAAAAGUUGAGAUCAAACUCUUGCCUCUCUUAUUGGUCGUCUCAUGCAUACGUAGUAUGAAACAUGUAUUACGGUAUUAACUCAUUUCCCAUGGAGCGUAUGUCUAUACAUUUUAAUACCGUACAGAUGAUAGUUCAGAUAUACCCAAUGUCUAACUUGAGUUCACUUAUCUACUCAUUCACAAAAUUCAUCAGAACUCACAUCUGGCAUCAUAGACAGAUAAAGUAAAAUAUGUGGGGUAUUUUACUUUCGGACAUAGUAAGUAUUAUGUCCUCAUCUUAACACUUAGUUAAGACGACAUACGUAUUUUAAGCUUGAGCUCUCGAUUAUCACCUAGAUAAUAAGCUUAAAAAUAGUCUCAUCUCUAUCUAUCACACAGUAAAUAGAGGCGAUUACCCGUGUGAGUGGGCUAAUCUUAUAUCUGUCCGACAUACUUCCUCAACUUAAAAAUAAUGCACUGAGCAUUAAGAUGCAUAAAGAUCAAACAAAUAUUCAUAGGCAUUAAUAAUGAAACAAUACUAGUUCAUAAAUGUGAACAACUCAGGGAAAUUACAAUCUAGUACAUCAGACUCUACACAAUCCUAGAGAUUUUACAUGACCACAAAACACAUCUCUAGGUAUUGGCUUUGUCAUAGGAUCUGCUACCAUUCUAUGCGUAGAUAUGUACUGUAAGUUCACAUCCUUUCGUGCAACCAUAUCCUUGACAAAGUUAUACUUGGUAUCUAUAUGUUUGGUCUUGCCAUGAUAUUUUGGAUCUUUGGCGUACGCUAUAACUGUUUGGCUAUCACAGUUAACCAAUAAUUGAUUUGCGGCUUUCUCAAUAACACCUAAAUGAUCCAAGAAUCUCUUAAGCCAAACUGCUUCUUGUACUGCUGCUGAUAAUGCCACGAACUCAGCUUCCAUCGUGGAUAAGGCUAUGCACGUUUGCUUCUUACUACUCCAUGAUAUGGCGCCAUUGCUUAGUAAGAAAACAAAUCCUGAGGUAGAUUUUCUUUCAUCUAAAUCUCCUCCCCAAUCAGCAUCUGAAUAGCCUUCAAGUCGCAGAUCCUUUCCUUGGUAAUUCAACUUGUAAUCAGCAGUUCCCUUCAGAUACCUUAGUAUUCUCUUAACGGCCUUCCAAUGUGCUGGACCUGGAUUGGAUUGGUAUCUACUCACCAUUCCAACUGCAAAACAUAUGUCGGGUCUUGUACACAUCAUAGCGUACAUCAAGCUCCCAACAGCACUUACAUAAGGAACAUGUUUCAUUUGUUCCUUCUCUUGUAGAGUCCUUGGACACAGUCUAUGGUUCAAUCCUUCACCUUUUGCAAUAGGAGUGUCUAUGGGUUUACAAUCCUGCAUACAAAAUCGUUCAAGAACCUUAUUUGUAUAGGUUUCUUGCGAAAGAGACAACGAUCUCUUCGAACGAUCUCUUGAAAUCUUAACUCCAAGAAUGUAUGUAGCCUCUCCCAUGUCCUUCAUCUCAAAGUUGGAAGACAACCAACUCUUGAUAGUCUUAACAAGCUCCAUAUUGCUUCCGGCAAUUAGUAUAUCAUCAACAUAUAAUGAUAUGAUCACAAAUUGAUCCUUGGAUCUUUUGAUAUAUACACAAUGAUCCUCAUCAAUCAUUGUAAAAUCAUAUGCCAUUAUGGCAUUAUGAAAACGUAUCGACCUCAAAAGUCGACAUACCUUUUCUUCUUGGCCUUUCACUAUGAAACCAGCAGGUUGUUCCAUAUAUAUUUCUUCCUCUAAUUCUCCAUUGAGGAAAGCAGUCUUUACAUCCAUUUGAUGUAACUCAAGAUCCAGACUAGCCACUAUUGCCAGAAUAAUGCGAAUCGAGGUAAAUCUCACUAUAGGAGAAAACGUAUCUUCAUAAUCAAUUCCUUCCUGUUGAUUAUACCCCUUCGCCACAAGGCGAGCCUUAUGCCUUUCAAUCGAGCCAUCAGCCUUUCGCUUUAUUUUGAGAACCCACUUGUUCCCAAUAGCUCUGCGUCCUUUUGGAAGAUUAACCAGUUCCCAGACUUGGUUUGAUUUCAUCGACUCCAUUUCCUCUUCCAUUGCAUUAAUCCAUUUUUCCUUACUAGGGCAAUUCAGAACCUCAUUUAUAUUUCUUGGCUCAUCCUCAUCUUGUGGAGCAAUCAUAAAAUUUUUCCCUUCAAUGUCAAAACGUCGACGGGGAAUACUUUGGCGACUUGUUCGCCGUAUGGGAGAUUGUACACUUAGCACAUCAUCCCCCAUCAUGCUCCCACUUGGAUUAGGUAAUGAUGAUGUCAUCUCAUGUGGUUGCAAUUGAGAAUUAGUUGAAUUCAAUUCAUCACUUCUCAUAUUACUCCCACUUGGACGAACUCCACUAACAUCAUUAUCCUGAUCCAAGGUCUCAAAUAGGGAACAAUCUUCCCCUAUUUCGCCCUUCUUAGGAAAUUCACCCUCUAAGAAUGUGACAUCUCGUGAUUCAAACUCAGUUAUACUUCCACUUUCUUGCUCACCUAUGAACACAUAUCCUUUCGAGUGUUCAGAGUAUCUUAUGAAAAUACUCUUCUUUCCUUUGGGACCCAAUUUCCCAAAUUUGUGAGAGGACUCAUGUGUAUAGGCGGCACAACCCCAUGGCUUAAGAGAACUUAAGUCCAGUUUUCUACCUGUCCAUAACUCAUAUGGAAUGGAAGUAACUGAUUUGGAAGGCACACGGUUAAGUAUAUAGGCAACAGUUAAUAAUAGGGGCGAGCACGGGUAGCGGGUAGAACCGCGAACCAGAGAACCGGAACCGGAACCUCGGUCCGGUUCCCGGUUCUUAAAGGACCGGUUCCGGUUCCCGGUUCCAUUUUUCCGGGAACCGGCAAUCCCGGUUCCGGUUCCGGUUUCAAGUGGAACCGGAACCGAAACCGGAACUGGCGCGGAACCGGAACCGGAACCGGCCGCGGAAUCGGAACCGGAACCGGCCACGGAACCGGAACCGGAACCUGUCGCGGAACCGGUUUCGGAACCGGUUAGGGUUCCAAAAGAACCCCCCCCCCCCGCUCGGCGCUCCAAGCCUCCAGCCUCCUGUCCUCUGUAUCUUCCUCAGUCCUUCGAUUUCAGCUGGACGCCGCUCGCCCUCAAGGCCACCGCCGCCGGACGCCGCUCGCCCUUAAGGCCACCGCCGUCGGACGCCACUGGUCUGGACUGGACGCCAGUCCCCGACGUCGCUCGACGCCCGCAUUCGCGACACUUGAGUCGUCGUUGCCCUAAAGACCCUGACUGACGUCCCUGCUCACUCCUCAGCGCCGGCCACCAUCGCCGAACGCCGCUCGACGCCCGUCGCUCUGCUCAGCGCCGGCCACCGUCGCCGAACGCCGCUGGACGCCAGUCCCCGACGUCGCUCGAGCCUCGACGCCCGCAUUCGCAAAUCGCCAGAAGCUGACCGACCUUGACCGACGUCCCUGCUCGUGACCGGCCGUUGCCCCAAAGACCCUGACCAACGUCCUUGCUCGUGACCCACGCCACUCACGCCAAAAGCCCCGAUGCCCCUGCUGCUGCAACGAACCAAAAGCCACUGCUUCGCCAUUCCCGUUCGGCACCAGGUUCCCUCUCUCUUUCUCUGCAACUGAGCAUGCGUUCGUGAUUGCGCUUCAGUUCCGGCUCGCACGCACUGCUUGGUGGGACCGAUUGUUUCGUAAUCGAUUGCAAGUGGGUGUUUAUCUGAUUGCCGAAACGCUUCGGGUGCUUGUGGAAUUUCUGGGUUCUACCUCCGCGGGGCUGGGUUUGCGCUUUGUAAUGGAACUUGUUGCAUGACUCAUUUUGGGCUUUUUUCCUUAUUGGAAGCUGAAACUUCGUUUUUGCGUUGUGGGUUCUUCUGGAAAAGAGAAAUUGGUUUAGUUGGUGAAGUGUUGACGCUUUCUCUGUGAGAGUCUCGCGCGUCCGGGUUGACUGCUUGGUGGGACCGAUUAUUUUGUAAUUGAUUUCAACUGGGGUGUUUAUCUGAUUACUGAAACGCUUCGGAUAGUUGCAGAAAUUUCGAGGGUCUGCCUCCGCGGGGCUCGUUCGUGCUUCCCGUUAUGCGUGUAAUGGAGCUUGUUGCAUGACCCCUUUUGGGCUUUUUUCCUUACUUGAAGCUGAAACUUCGAUUUGGGUUGUGGGAUCUUCGGGAAAAGAGAAAUUGGUUUAGUCGGUGAAGUGUUGAAGCUUUCUCUUUCUCUGCAAGAAUCGUGCGCUUCUGGGUUGAGAUUAAUGAUGCUUCCCUUAUUGAACUUUGAAAUCCGAGUCUCGCAUUCCAUUGUUGUAUUGUUUAUCUGAUUACCGAAAUGCUUCAGGUACUUGCAGAAAUUUGAGGGUCUACCUCUGCCAGGCUGGUUUUGCGCUUCCUUUUCCGCAUGUAAUGGAACUUGCUGAAUGACCCAUUUUGGGCUUUCCUUAUUCGAAGCUGAAACUUUUUUUGCUUUGUGGGUUCUUUGGGAAAAGAAAAGUUGGUUUGGUUGGUGGAGUGUUGACGCUUCCCAGUUGAGAUUAGUGUUGUUUUCGCUUAUUGGACUUUGAAACCCGUGUCUUGCAUUCUGUUGUUGUUGUCUUGUUUUUAUGUAUCCUUUGUUGCGAUUUGGAUCUGAAUUUCUUCCGAUUGUAGUUUUUAAAACACAUGCUGGGACAACUGUAUGGCCACAAAUAAGGGCAUAUUUGAAUAAAUCUUUUGCAUUUGUAUUGAUAAUAUGAUAUAGUCCUAAAGUUGUGUAUUGAUUUGAUUUUUAGCAAUUGCUUGCAUAUUCUAUAACUCAAUUCGCAUUAUGUUUUGAAUUUUCUAAUUAUAUUAUAUUAUUGUUGUGUAGUGCGGAAUUAAUGUAUCAAGAUAACACGUCAAUGGAGGUGGAGGGACGUGAGGAGAUGACUCCGGGUAUGGAAUUUGAGUUUUCUGGCAAUGAAAUUGAAGAAGAUGCACCCCCUACCUUGAGUGCCACAAAUAAGGUAUCUGAUUCUCAUGAUAAGAAAUAUACAUCUGAAUGUUGGAAUCAUUAUUCGAAAAUCAGUGAUAAGGAUGGAAAAAUAUAUCAAGUGAAAUGCAUUCAUUGUGGGUCUAUACUUAAGUACCGUGUUACUAAUGGUACUUCUGCAAUGAGGAAGCACUUAAACACAUGUAAGAGGUUUCCUCGUAAUCUAGAUAAGAGGCAGAAAUUCUUUGUACCACAUAAUGUCAACACGGCUGGUAAGGCAGGAGGAGAUUCAAGUACUGGUAGCGUCUUAUCGACAUGGUCAUUUAAUCAAGAACGAGCUAGGCACAUGCUUGCUCGGUUUAUCAUCAUUGAUGAGCAACAUUUUUCCUUGGUUGAACGUGUUGGAUUUCGUGAAUAUGUUAGUGAGAUACAACCUCUCUUCAAACAUAUAUCACGUUUCACAGUGGCAAAAGAUUGUAUGAAGUUGUUUUUAUGUGAAAGAACUUCUUUGAAGAAUUAUUUUGGAAAGAUUAAUUCUAGGAUCGCACUCACGACUGAUACAUGGAGUUCCAAUCAAAAUCUGAAUUAUUUGUGUCUCACUGCACAUUUUAUUGAUGAAAAUUGGAAGUUGCAUAAAAGAAUCAUCAAUUUUGUGGUGAUGCAUAGUCACAGGGGUAGGGAGAUUGGGAAAAUGGUGGAGACAUGCAUUGAGGAGUGGGGAAUAGAAAAAAAGGUGUCCACAAUUACCGUGGAUAAUGCUAGCUCGAAUGAUGUUGCAAUUGGCUAUUUGAGGGAUAAACUUUCCAAACAAAUGUCGUUGAUAUUAGAUGGUAGUGUUUUGCAUAUGAGAUGUACAGCUCAUAUAUUAAAUUUGAUUGUGAGAGAUGGCUUGACUACGGUACGUGACUCUAUUGCACGUAUCUGAAAUGUGGUUAGGUAUGUAAAGAGUUCUCCCACAAGAGCCCAAGGAUUUAAAUCUUGCAUUGAGAGAGAAAAGAUCACUUAUAAGGGUUCGGUAGUUCUUGACGUUGCCACUAGAUGGAACUGCACUUACCUCAUGUUGGACACCGCCAUAAAGUUCAGAAAAACUUUCGAAAGGAUGGAAGAUCACGAUUCAUCUUUUGUAAGUGAGCUAAAUCAUGAAACUCCUAGGGAUGAUGAUUGGGAAAAUGCUAUUAUUCUUUUGAAUUUUCUGAAAGCAUUCUAUAAUGCCACCAAGAAGAUGUCUGGGACUUCAUAUGUUACUUCAAAUGAUCAUUUUGAAGGGAUAGCUAUUUUGUAUAGAUAUUUGAAAGAUGCGGUCAAUGCUUCGGAUCCUAAGCUUCAAACUAUGGGUUUGAAAAUGAAAGAAAAAUUUGACAAAUAUUAUGGAAGCUUGGAUAAAGUGAAUAUUAUGGUGUUGAUUGCGGUUGUGUUAGAUCUUAGAGCCAAGUUAAAUUAUGUGAGAUUCUUGUAUGGACAAAUUUAUGAUGAUGAAUUGAAGAUUGAAGAGAUGCAUUGCAAGGUGAAGAGUGCAUUGGAGCAUUUGUAUGAAUUUUAUGAGCAAUCUUCUCUUAUUUCAAAUGAUCAAGAUUUUGGUGGCCAUAAUUUGGGUGCAAGUAGUAGUAGUUCCACUUCCCAACCCGAUACGGGUGGUAGUAAAGUACUAAAGAUGCAUGAAGCCCAAGAUUGGAAGAAAAUGUUUUUAUACUCGAAUGAACAAGGGCGCGAUGAUAACAAGUCCGAGCUUGAUGAGUAUCUUCAAGAAAAAAAUGAAAAGGAUCUCAGUCUUGACAUUUUGAUUUGGUGGAAGGCUAAUGGUUCAAAAUAUAAGAUCCUUUCUUUGAUGGCUCGAGAUAUUUUGUCCAUUCCUGUAACAACCGUUGCUUCAGAGUCAACUUUUAGUACAUCGGGUCGUGUGCUUGAUGGCUUUCGAAGUUCUUUAACUCCUAAAGUAGUGGAAGCUUUGAUUUGCACUCAAGAUUGGUUAAGGACCGCUCGUGUACCGCUUGGUGAUGAAGAGUGUAUCGAGAACGCAGAACAAUUUGAAUUAAGUAAGUAAUGUUUAUAUCUUUAUAUAUUAUAAUUCUUUUUGUAUAUUUGAUAAGUGAAUAUUUUAUUUAACCUCUUCUUUUUCUUUUUUCAGAUAUGGUUGGCCUUAAUGCGGAGAUUAUUGUUGAUAAAUAGAGUUGGUGGUGUCGCAACAGCAAUGGAUUUAGCGGUAGAGAAUUCAAGCAAGGUUUUUUAUUAACUUUGUGCUGCUUUAACUAUAUUGUCAAAGAGUUUAUGAGCCUUUAAAUGAUUGUUGUGAUCUCACCAUUGAUAAGUUUAAUGCAUGGAAAAACAUUGUUGUCAAAGAGUCUAUGUUUUGUUUUAUUGUUUUCAUAGCUCGGGAAGUAUAUUUAUGGCAUGAUUUUGAUGUUAAGAGGAUUAUUGCGACAGUGCUAAAGAGUCCGAUAAUAUGCGCAUAUGUUAUUUUUAUUCAUUUUUAGAGUGCGUAUGUUAUAAUUUAACUCUAAAAAUGAAUAAUAGAAAAAAAAAAAAAACUGUUGGCAUUGGUAUGUUUGCUAAGAUGUGAGAAGUUACCGUAUAGUAUAUGCGUACGUAAUAGUUUUUUUUGGUAACACGCGCAUACGUUAUAUUUUUUUUUUGGUAACGUGCGCCCACGUUAUAGUUUUUUUUUAUAACGUGCGCGCACGUUAUAGUUUUUUUUGAUAACGUGCGCGCACGCUAUUUUUUUUUUUUUAUAACGUGCGCGCACGCUAUUUUUUUUUUUUUAUAACGUGCGCGUACGUUAUAUUUUUUUUGAUAACGUACGCGUACGUUAUAAUUUUUUUUGAUAAUGUGCAUGUACGUUAUAUUUUUUUUUGGUAACGUGCGCGUACGUUAUAAUUUUUUUUUUUUGGUAAUGUGCGCAUACGUUAUAAUUCAAAUCUAUAAAUAAAAAUAAAAACAAAAAAAGGAACGCGGAACCUGUUGGAACCUGGAACCGACCCUGGAACCUGUGACAGGGUAGGUUCCAAGUUCUCGGUUCUAACGGGUAGGUUUCAGGUUCCUCAUUUUGAGGAACCUGUACCCGAGGGUAGUUUCCAGGUUCCAGACGGAACCAAACCGGAACCUGGAACCGCUCACCCCUAGUUAAUAACACAUCACUCCAAAAGGUAAUAGGUAAGUUAGCAUGCGCCAUCAUGGAUCUAACCAUUUCCAUUAGGGUUCUGUUUCUUCUCUCCGCAACACUAUUUUGUUGAGGAGUAUAUGAAAUGGACAACUGUCUUUCUAUUCCUUUUUCAUCACAUAAUUUUCUGAACUCAUCAGAUAAAUAUUCUCGACCUCGAUCGGAUCUCAAUACUUUUAUUUUCUUGUCUAAUUGAUUCUCUACCAGGUUCAUAAACCUUUUAAAACAACUUAUUGCUUCAGAUUUAUGAGAAAUCAAAUAGACAUAUCCGAAUCGAGUAUAAUCAUCAAUAAAAGUGAUGAAAUAAACAGCCACAUGCCUUCCUUUCACAUUCAUUGGACCACAGACAUCAGAAUGGAUUAAAUGCAGAGGAAAUUUAGCUCUUUUUCCCUUUCCAAAUGGUUUCCUUGUCGUUUUCCCUUCUAGGCAAUGCUUACAUAUGGACAAAUCGACUUUUUCAAUAUUGCCCAACAAGCCCUCUUUUGCUAGUCUAUUCAUACGCUGUUGGCCAAUGUGACCAAGUCUAGCAUGCCACACAUUCACAUCAUUAUCAUAUGUAUUAGGAGACGUGAGAAGGGAAUAACAAACAUUAGCAUUAACAUAAUCAAUAUCUAAUACAAUAAAACCAUCCAGAAAAUAACCACAACCAUAGUAAUUUGUAUCCAAAAACAAAUUCACACAUCUACUAUAGAAGUUCAUAUUAAAACCUAAUUUAACCAACACUAAUACAGACACUAAAUUCCGACGAAUCUCCGAAGCAUACAACACAUCAUGAAGGAACAAAGUGCGUCCACCACGCAUAUUCAGUUGGCAUGUGCCAAUUCCUUUCACUUCAGCUCUGGAGUUGUUUCCCACAUAGAUCCACUUAGUUCCAGUUAAUACUUGUCGGAAUUCCACGAAGGAUCCUAUAUCCUUCGCUAUAUGGUCCGUCGCUCCUGAAUCCACAGUCCACAAAGGAUUAGACUCAGUUAAGAACACAAAACUCGACACAAAAGUAAAGUUUUGAAAAGUACAAGGAGUGCAUACCUUCUUUGGCUCACGACAGUCGCGAGCAUAGUGACCAUUCUUGUCACAGUUGUAGCAUUUCACCCUUGCAAGCUUUUUCAUGCGGGGACGAUUCCCUCUUUCAUGUUGGUUAAACUUGGGUUUCUUCCCUGAAGGACCUGCUUCUUCCUUACCUUUUCCCUUAUCAAACCAGUUAUGGCGCUUGCACUUGGAGCUCAAAGCUCCAUUUGAGCUAGAACUAGCAUGAUAGAGUUCAGCAUCCGGCUUAGCCGCCAACAGGCGGUCCUCUUCCAGCUCAAGAUGACGCAUUGCAUCCUCAAAGGUUUUGAUAUUUUAAUUGUGAGUUAGGUGCACCUUCAUGUGCUCCCAACUCUGAGGCAAGGAACAAAUCACUGCUUGCACCUGCUGCUCAUCUGUGAGGACAUGGCCAUCAUCUUUCAGCUCAGUUAUCAUGUUUGACAUCUUUCUAAGAUGUUGCUUCAUGGUUUGACCAUGAGGCUUCUUAUAAGAGUCAAACCUGAUAGUGAGCUACCUCAGUCUAGUCACCGAAGUAUGACCAAAUCUAGCUGCCAAUGCCUCCCACAUUUCCUUGGCAUUGUCAAAACGCCGAAACUCUCGCAUGACGUCAUUUUCCAUGCUGCUCAACAACGUGAUGCGAGCUAGAGAGUUCUUUAUUUUCCACGCAGAAAAAGCUUCUUUGUCUCUUUUGUGCUGUGCAGUGGUUCCCUCUUCAGGUUCUACCAUGGUCAGGUUAAGAGCCUCAAGUGCUUCUUGCUCUUCCAGCACAUAUUGGAUUUUCAUUUGCCAAAUUUCAUAGUUAUCACCAUUGAGCUUUUCACCUUUGUUCAGCUCGGCAACUAUGCUCUUUAUGGCUGAAGCCAUUGAUCUGAACAAAUCAGACAAAUAUGCACGAAUUAUUAAUGCCUAUCAUUUAUGCAUCCCUAUUUACAUAGACCCAUCAUAUUAAUGAAUAAUUUCAAGUAAGGUUUCAGAUUCAAAAGAUCACUAUGUUUCCAAUCAUCCUCCAAAAUCCUAACUUAAAACUAUCAUCAAUAUAAUUGUCUUAUGCAAAAUCAAUUUUAUGAAGCUACAAAAACUUCUAAAACUACCCACAGCUAAUUACCCACAGCAACCAGCAAUAACAGAAAGCAACAUAUAAUAGAUAUCUAAUAAAACAAUAAUGCUUUCAAUUAACACAAUUAGGUAGUAAUCAUUACAUAAUAUGUCCACAAAUCACACUUAACAUAUAUCAGCUAAUACAACUAACACCAAGUCAGCACACGAACUGGGAAAGAUCCUCUUUUGUUCAAUUUCUUGAUAUUUUCCCUUGAAACAAUAAAGUAAUAUUCAUUUACAAAAUCCAUCACAAUUUUCUUAUAGGAAGCAGCUCCGUUGACAUCCCAUAUGCGAUUCAACACAUCUUGCCAUUCAGGUGGAAGAGUGUUUAUGAGAAAUCGCACCAUCUCUGACUAUGACAUAGGACGACCAUUCCAUAUGACCUGUUGAAUCUUCCCGUUGACUUCAAGGACGUGAUCAAUUAAGUCACCACUCUCCCGUCGAUGAUUAGUCAGCUCAGCUAUCAACUUAGACAGCCUAUCCUUUUGUUCAUCGGUAAUUGCGCGAAUAGGUGUGCGCAAUCUCAGAGAAUGCAUUGUUCCUGCAACAAAUGCAGAACAAAUAAGGGAUCACAUUAUAAUCCACAUAGACUUAAUUGAAAAAGAAACACAUUCUUUUCCUUUUCCCUUUUUUUUUUUUUUCCGGGUCAACGGUCAACGGUCAACGGUGGUCAACGGUCAAUGGUCGUCAAUCGUCGGUCGUCGGACCGGUUCGAGCGAACCGGCGGCACGUGCCGCACGCGUGCACGGGAUGACGUCACGCAGACGUCAGCCGGCACGUGCGGCGCGCGUGCCAACGUCCUCGGGUCGGGUUGGGUCGCCGGUCGGGUCGCCGACCGGUGGCCGCCCCGGCGAAACGUCAUCGUGCUGACGUCAUCAAUGACAUCACCCUAGUGGUUAUUGACCGUUGGGUGACGUCAUGAUGACGUCAGCACACGUCGGUCCGCGGACCGGCGCGUGCCGGUUCGCCGGCCAGCGGUGCGCAGGCGCUAGUUCGCCGACCGGCGCGUGUGCCGCACGCGCCGGGCGAGCCAUCGCUUCCGGGCGCGUUGCGCCCACGCGCAGCGGCUUCUGGCCACUCGUGUAGGCGCGUGCGGCGUCUCCCGGCGGCGCACAACGUACCUCCAGACUCGUCUCGACAUCGCCUUUCUCCCCAUGUAUUCAGAAAACGAUUUGGACUUACGAAAACUCAGAAAAAUGGCCGAAGAACGCUCAGGUGUCGGGAUUUCUCGCCCCGAUCCGUACGGCCGAAUUGCUUUUGCGAAAAAAUCAAUCAAAAAAUGUCAAACAAGUCGGGAAACGUGAACUAGGGCUCUGAUACCAAUGUUGGGAAUGACUGAUCCCCGAAAACCGGAUUCGACACUAAAUCGAACCCCUAAAUCAAUGCGAAAGACGAAGCCCGGGAAUGACAUGUAUCACCGAUCCUAAAACACACCACGGAUUCGAGCGUACCUUGUUAGCCACAGAUUAGACACCGACGCUGAUAGAGGAAGAGAAUUUGUCCCUUGUUCGAUCCGAUGACGCCUUAAAGGGAAGACAGUGUCGCCGUUUGCUUACUGUUUGUUUUAGGAGGGAGAGAGCGUUGGAGAGAAGAAGACAUACGUUUUUCCAAAACGUUAUCAUCUCUCUCUCUCCUCCCUUUUAUACCUUCCCCAUCCACAGGCCCUAUUCCCGUGGGCCGGGCCUUUUGGGCCCAGCAUGGGCGGACGGGCCUUAAGCCCAUCACCAAUUAAAACCAUCAACUUUGAAUACAUUAGUCUCCAGCUCCUGGCCGGAUCAAGACGGCCGUUAAUUUUUAUUCUGCUUCUAACGUCUGUGUUGUCGUUUAUUUAAUGGUGAAUGAUGUCGAACUAGUAGAGUUGGAAGCAAAGUCGAAUGGGAGACAUGGGGACCCGCCUUCGAUCUGUCUACACAACAUAAGGUUCAUCAUUUUAAUGAAAAUCAUCAAUAACAAUGCUCAGAAGAACAAGAUUUUCCACAUAUAGUACGUGGUCAAAAGUUAUUCUAUUUAAACAAACCAAUCACCUUACAAAAAAUUAUGAAAAAUUAUGAUAUUGAUACUAUCUAUUUCAAUAAUAUAUAUAUAUAUAUAUAUAUAUAUGUGUGUAAUAUAUAUAUAUAUAUAUGUGUGUGUGUGUGUGUGUGUGUGUUUAAGCUAGUUGUGUCUCUUUUAAAGUGAUUGAUUAGAUCACCACAUCAUGAUUAACGCGUAACUCAAUACAUUUAUUUUUCCAAUGCAAAUUAAAAUAAUUUUAUGGCGAGGUGUGCUUGUCAACUAGUUUAUAUAAAUUGCCAAAUACUAGGGAUAUUUAAUGUGUUCCGAUAUCAACUAAGCAAGGAGGCAUUUGGACCGGGCCACCUGCACCUACACAUGAAUAGAAACCUGCCUCAUCUCCACAACAUUUGACUACUGAUUGUAGUAAUUUAAGGGAUGUUAUAAAGUAUAUCAACUAGCUAUAAUUAUUUGUUCUUUGAAAUUAGGAAAACCCAUUCUGGAUAAGUGUAAUAGUCUUUGUUCUCUAUCGAUCUCCUAAAAAUUAAGCAUAGGUAGGCUAGAAAAGUAAUAUGGUUUAAUGAUGAAUGGACCAUGAGUCAUCACCUUCACAAGUUCACCAACCUGAGGAAAGAGGCAAUUCAUGCACCUAGGUAGAUUGAGCCGUUCCUAAUUAAGUUACACAUUAAAAAGAAAAGGAGUUUUGGUAUAAACUAUUUAUAGGGUAGGGAAGGGAUAGAUCAAGCUAAUCUCAGUUAAUAAGACAUUUCAGUCACGUAUCUGUUGACAAAAUUUAAUCGAGUCUAAUUGCUCUUUGAUCUACGAUUGACUUAAUAGAUUUCAGUAUAGUGAGUCCAAACAAUAGUUUCCUCUCAAUGUUUUAUAUCAAUCAUUAUGAUGAAUUCAAGAUUCUUUUUUAAUUGUAAUAAUAUUGAGUAGAAUGGAAAAAAAAAAUCGAAUUGGAAUUAGUUGAAGACGAUAUUCACUUGGCUCGCGGGCUACAAGAGUGAGUUUAAGUAUGACUCUUAGACUCACAUUCAUUAAAAAAAAAAAUAAUAAUAAACCUGAUGAUGUUGAGUUUUCAAUGAACUACAUAUAUUAAUUAUUUUCUAUCGCAUCAAUUAUUCAAAUGAUACUCUAGUUCUCGAUGGUCUUCAAUAAUAGUAUACAAAAGUACAGUAAAGUAAUACGAACAAUGUAUGCUUGUCAUUUCAUAAUGCACACGUCAACACAAUAUUAUACUCCGAUUGUUUUGCAAAAAAUUAACGAUCUCUAAAAUAUUUGUUAACUUUAACCAUUGUUAUUACUUAAAAAAAUGAGUUAAUGAAAAUAUUUCGAAGAGAUAUAAAUGACCAAAUUUAGGGAAAAAAAUUUCAGAUCAGUGAUUUGUCACCAAAUAAAUGGAAAUCGAGGUUUGCAGAAAAAAUCGACUAUAGAGGUAUGGCAGAGUGCGCGUCCAUGUUCACAACAUCGACAACCAACGUUCACUCCAUUUGUUUACCUUCCGAAACGACAAAAUGAACUAAGAAUAAUCAAAUGUUGGAGAUACUCUCAAGUUCAAAAAUAAAUUAAUGAAGGUUGACGCCUUUUUUUUAAUAUCUUUUCUCUUCCAUUAACUAGAAAAACUGUCACCGAAUAGGUCUAGGAGACAUAGGAAGACAAUAUGUUCAUAAAAUAACUGUCUUAAACUAAUUUGUUUGUUCUAAGCAUUUGUCGGAAGUCUCUGUUUUUCUUCUUUUUUUUUUCGGCUUUUUCUGGUAAUGAACCAGUGAAGAUCGAGUUUUUUGUCUUCUUAUUUAAGGCAAUGUGAAAAAUACAUGCAUCAGCCUCGAACUUUUAAAUUUUGAGUGUCGUCGAAGAUACUCUUGCCACAAGUGGGGCUUAACAAUUGUUUUUCAAGAAGUGAUUUUUUCAAGGAUAAAUACAAAAGUCAUUCUCAAUUUUGCACCGCGUAUUAAAUACCAUCCUCGCGUCUUAGAAUAUACAUUUUGCAUCUCCCAGGCUAAACGGAUCUAUUCGCCUCAUACGCACCCAUAAUCUAUACCCUUUCUCAUUUCCCACUCUCUUUCCCUACCCUUUUCUCUCUCCUCACACACAAAGCACAGCAAGUAGCGGUAAAAAUAAUUAUCUAAAAAGUCCUAAACCUAUUAUAGGACAACCAAUUCAGUCUUAAACCUCUUAAUUGUGUUAAAUGAGUCUUAAACGUUUCAAUUGUACUAAUUUAGUCUUAAACAUUUUGACGAUUUAUCAAUUUAGUCGGUUUAGCCAAAAACCUUCCGAAGAUUUGCCAGUUCAUUCCUAAACUUAUUAUAUGAAUAUUUGGUUAGGCAGACUACAUUAGCAAAUUUUCAAAAAAUUUAUGACUAAAUUGGCAAAAUUAAAAAAGCUUAUAACUAAAUUGGCAAAUUGUCAAAAAGUUUAAGACGAAAUUAGCACAAUAAAAAUGUUUAAGACCGAAAUAGCCUCCGCACAAUAGGCUUAGGGAUCUUUAGACAAUUCUUCCAGUCAUAGUGUGAGAGUCACCACAGCACCAAGCUAUCGUGGAGCUGCCAAUGACAUCCUCAACCACCACCGCCACCUCUUUCCCCACAUCUAUGUCUUUGUCUGUGGCGGGAUUGUUCGCCGCUCACAAUGCCGAGUAGCUUAGCUUGAGCCCGAGGCUCACGAUCCAAGGCCAUGCGAGCUCGUCAUCGAGCUCACUAGGGUCAUGACUGCAAGCCUCUGUAACAAGCUCAAAAGCAACACAAGCUCUGCUAUGGAGCUCCGUCAUGGCCGCUAGAUCAAGGUCGUGCGAUCUCAAUCUGGCCAUAAGCUAGCGGCUACAGCCUCCGAGGGAACAACGGCGACACACGUAAUGGAGAGGGGGAGACGUGGUGGUGAGUAUGUGAUGCGGGAGCAUCCAACGUAGCUCUAUCGAUCAACUCAGAACCAUCGAUGCAUUCUUGAAUCACUCACUCCAUCACACAUCAGUAUGUUGGACUGAGCAAGCCCCUCAGCCGCGGGAGAGGAAGUGCGGGCAUAUGUUGGGUUUUUUGGAGGUAGGCUAGCUUGGAAAAUAAAUUGACAACUUGGUAAAUUAUGUGUGGGCGAGUGAUAUAAAUUGAAAAUCAUUGUAAUAUCUUAGAGUAAUAGUUGUAGGUUUGAAGUAUGAAAAGAGUAUUUGAUAUGCAAAGUAAACACAAUAUGCUAAUUGUUAGGUCCAUCAAUGUAUCAAAAGUUUCACAUAUUUACCACUUGAUAAUUGACAUGAAUAUUUGAAAAUAACAACGUAAUCAAAUCUUUUUAUGCAUCAAUCAGUCAAUUCUUACCUCGACAAUGGACAUAAUGAGAAUCCUGUUGUAAUAUAUAAUAUAAUACAAUAUGCAAUAGCGAGUGUCUGGUUUGGUGUUCAAGUGGACGUUUCAGCUCAUGCAUGAUUGAAGACUUUCUUGACCAAUAGGUGCACCUAACACGUUUGGAAUCUUGUGCAGAAAGUUGCCCUUUUUCAAUUAAACAGUGGAUGGAUUGAUUCCAUCGUUUAGCACGUACACUUCCUUAAAAAAAAAAAAAAAAAAACAAGCCACGUCAUCUUUAAAAUGACAAACUCAGCGAUUAACCUCGAAUUCUUGAAUUUUAUCAUUUCAAAUAAAUAUAAACCCACGUUGAAACCGACAUCACCGAGACAUCUUGCACAUUAAUUAAGAGUCCAAUUUGAACUUGGAAGCAACGGCAAAUCCGAGCGCCCAAGGAAUCCCGUACUUUCCUAUUCGGGCUUCUACAAACUUUAAUGUGGUCCCGUUUCGGAUACGGAGCUAAAGACGUGAGACAUAUGUCAACUGCGGAGAUGAUGGUAGGAGUUGCAGGUAAACGCAUGGGAAGCAGGCAUGAUGGAACGAGGAAAUAGAGGUGGGGGUCAGUAUGGCUUCAAGGUAGAAUUAGUUUCAAAUUUCAGAGUUAUAGGAUAACUUCUAGAUUUUAAAAAUUGAGGAAUCUAUUUCUAUGGACUUGAAACUUGGAACGAGUUUUUAUAUUUUUAUUGUUCUAUGUCUUCGCGUAAUUCUGCGAUAUUCGAUACCGUUGAAUGAUAAGUGUGUAAUCUGGAAUCACUAAUUUGAGCUUCUAUUUCUAGUAUUUUCUUUGAUUAAGACUUUUAUUUCAUUAAUAUUUCAUAUUCUACAAAUGUCUAAAUAUGAAUUGUAGUCACUGGAUUAUAGAAGUAAAUGGUGAAGUAAAUGGUGAUCGAUAAAGAUGAUUAUUCACUAUAAUUGUUUAACUAAUAAUACGUGUCGAAUCUUGGUAAACCCUGAAAACUUUAAUAGGAUAGGUUCCAGAUUUUGAAGUGUGCAAAGCAGGUUCCAAAUUCCAAAAAUUUGGAAAACGUUUUCAACGGGUAGGUUCUUGAUUCUAGGUAGAAUCUGAACCGACCUCAAAAUCGCUCGCGUCUAAAUGAAGGAGACUUUGUCAGUAACUAUAGCAACCAGUAGCGGUAGUGAUUUUUCGAUGGAGCGAUGGCUCAGGAAUGUUUGGGCCCAUGCCUCAUGGAUUGCUCUUGCCGUGCGGGUAGUCUAUUGUGAAUUACGACAAGAUCCACGAUUGUUGGGGCGUGACAUUAGUGAGAAUCAAAAUCUCAAAUAGAGGAGGAGAGCAUGAAGGUGUUUCAACAACCCUGUCUUCAAAUAUCAGACAAUGAACUUAGAAGAUUGGACAGUAACAAAAAGGAUAGUCACUCGGUACCUCUUGUAGUUCAUAUCACGAUACUAUUUUCUAGCUUCUGCUAAUUCGAUGCAAUUUUUUUCCAGCUUGGACUAGGGGCUUUAGUACUGGCAAUACCACGAGAUCUUUAGCAGGCCUAUUCGAUCCAGACCAUACGCGAGCACAUAAUUAUCCCCGAUUUGCUUGCACAAGAGCAUCGUAAUAUCAUAUACUGACACAGUGAUCAGAACGCUAAAGAGCUACCAUAUUAAGGAUUGAGAUUACACUAACAAAGGCCAUAAGAUAUAAAUGUAAGCUUAUUUUAUUGAAAUAUUUCAAUCCAUGAACACCUUUGCCUUGGUUCUAUUGCAAAAGCGAUCCUUCCACCUAAAGACUGGGGCAAGACUUCCACAUGCCGUUAGAUGUACUGAGAGUUAUUCGCGUGGUAAUAUUUCGUUGUGUUAUAAUUUAGUGUUUUGCAAAUUCUUCCUCGCAUCUAUUCUAUGCUAAUCGAGUCAUUCGGUACAAUGGAGUACUUCCACCACUUCACAUUAGUAGCUCCUCUAAUUCGUUCGCGCAACGACGGCAAACAAUGUGAAAACAUCAUCGUUUUAUGGCACAUAUCAGAGGUAAUCAUGGGCUCGGCGGCCUAUUAGGCUCGGUCAUCCCACAAGGUGAAAUGGGUGAAUUUGAGCAAGCAAUUCCCUUCUCAAGCCCGGCCGUCCUGUCGGAUCAUUUUUAUUUUCAUCAGGGACAAACUUGGAGAAGAGUCUUCCUAGACUCGACAUUUAAUCCUACCUGCUCAGUGGUCAGAUCUAAGCUCUCCUAGACGAUCUCUAGGGAGGUUAACCAUUUUCCCUCCCUACUUCUUCUCCCCUUUCCACCAAACGGAGGGGCAAGAAGGAAAAGGACAAAGGAAAGAUGAUGAUCUGCCUUGGACGAUGACAACUAAGAACAGCUACGCAAUUUGACUUGGAGCUGAGAACUUGGCCGAACGUGAGGCCACUACUGCGACAUGAAUCCUGAGUCUUAAAAGAGAUUAACUUGCAUUUCUUAGAGAUGUCGUAUCCACUCAAAAAGGACUAUAUGAUGUAGAUCAUCUGAACCGUUAAUUAUGUUGGCCACUUUGUAGGAAUCGCAUAAUCAGUGGUUCCAAUGAUAUUGAUCCAUAAGAUAUAUACACCGUGUAAUAACGUCUAGAUAUUCACCAUAUAUGUAUUAUGUAGUACAUAUAUUCCAGGCAUAUUGAAACAAUGCAAACUAUCUUGAUUGACCCUAUGUCCUUUCUAUAUCAAUGAAAGCCACCUACCAAAGAUGAAAUCGAUCAUUUCAAAGCAAAGUCGCCAUGACUUGCCCAAUCUUAGCUAUUAUGAUCAAUCUCAUUCGAUUCGACAUAUCAAAGUAGUUUGAUUUGCACAAUUUGGGGAACCAUUCAUAUUAGCUUGGGUUAUAUCGGCUUUUGUUCAGCACCUAAUCGUUUGACUACUCGUCUCUGGAGGUCACAUUCUUCAAUUCAUUUCUCAACCACCAAAGAAUCUCAAGCAGAAAAAUCAAGAUUUGAAUUAUAGCUUGACGUGCUCGUGAUCUCAAAAAAAGUUCAGAACGAAACGGAACAUCUUCGUUGAUAUGAUUUAUGAGUACUAUACAUUCUUCCUCUUUUUUUUCCCUUCUGCAAAGAAAGGUAAAUUCAGCAAACACCACGCCAAGUUUAGACACACAACAUGAGAGACCCAAACGAAAGGAUACUUCUACGUGGUGAUUCUGCAAGAAAGGGUUUCCAAGUUUGGGGGCUGAUCAAUAGCUUGCUCUCUACAAGGCCUGACCAGAGCUUCCAAGCUCCUCAAUUGACUCAUGAGCUGCUUAUAAACGGCAAGCCUCACUUUCGAAAUCAUCAGCGCCACCCUCUUCCUCGACUUCUUCAACCGCCGCCCGAUCUUCACCUUCAACCGGCAGAACCUCACUCUCAGGAGCGAAGGCCUCCUCCGAGCAUCGGCUCGUGCCAACACCUUGUAGAUCAGGAACUGCGCUUUCCGGUGCUUUUUCUCUUCUGGGUCCUCGAAAUCCAUCCUUGUGUAUGCAUUCGGCUUCUUGAAAAGAGCCAUGGUCGGUCCUUCGGAUCGAGCUUUUGGAGGUUGAAGAGAAGGGAGUGUGUUUUGGAGGAG
This 32554-nucleotide long non-coding RNA is filed under the name Eucalyptus grandis. RNAcentral describes it as "long non-coding RNA (EGRA_LNC003342)". Lineage: Eukaryota; Viridiplantae; Streptophyta; Magnoliopsida; Myrtales; Myrtaceae. The record is from RNAcentral.